CAAAAGAGUCACCAGCAGAGGUUAGUUGACAGCAAGUUUAGUUCUAUAGUCAGCUGAAGAGAUAGGAAAGGCAGAAUUCAGUUCUUUAGAUAAGUAUCUAGAAGUUCCCAGGGGAAGAGGAUGGGACUUUCCCAGAAGAAAAUGAAGAAUGUGUACAGCACUUAUUACUACUUCUUGGUCAAGAAAAUCCCAGGGACAAUACUGAUAUACUGUACAAUGAAGCUGUGACCUUGGGCCUUUCUAUCAUCUUUCUAAUUCCCAAUUUCUCAGAUAUGAGGACCAGAAGGUUUUGUCCUGCCCCAGCUCAGGGACCAACAUAGAAUGGCAGCUGCUCUGGGCUGCCGAGAGUCUCGGCCACUUCUUGGAAGGAAGUUGCCUGAAGGAGAAAUACUAGAGGAUUUGAACAACCUCUCCCAGUUGUCCCCAGGAGGAUUCAGGAAGACCAGAAAGGUAAUUGGGAGAGACUG
Molecule: long non-coding RNA, 467 nt
Filed under: Monodelphis domestica (gray short-tailed opossum)
Lineage: Eukaryota; Metazoa; Chordata; Mammalia; Didelphimorphia; Didelphidae
Description: lncRNA (ENSMODG00000034358.2)
Source: RNAcentral